RNAcentral lists this ribosomal RNA (289 nucleotides) under uncultured Anaplasma sp. Its description in RNAcentral is "partial 16S ribosomal RNA". It matches the Rfam family "Bacterial small subunit ribosomal RNA", at positions 531 to 819 of the family's 1533-position model. Lineage: Bacteria; Pseudomonadati; Pseudomonadota; Alphaproteobacteria; Rickettsiales; Anaplasmataceae. The record is from RNAcentral.
GGGGCAAGCGUUGUUCGGAAUUAUUGGGCGUAAAGGGCAUGUAGGCGGUUUGGUAAGUUAAAGGUGAAAUACCAGGGCUUAACCCUGGGGCUGCUUUUAAUACUGCAGGACUAGAGUCCGGAAGAGGAUAGCGGAAUUCCUAGUGUAGAGGUGAAAUUCGUAGAUAUUAGGAGGAACACCAGUGGCGAAGGCGGCUGUCUGGUCCGGUACUGACGCUGAUGUGCGAAAGCGUGGGGAGCAAACAGGAUUAGAUACCCUGGUAGUCCACGCUGUAAACGAUGAGUGCUAA